UACGAAGGGGGCGAGCGUUGUUCGGAAUUACUGGGCGUAAAGGGCGCGUAGGCGGCGACCCAAGUCAGAUGUGAAAGUCCUGGGCUUAACCUGGGGACUGCAUUUGAUACUGGGUUGCUUGAAUUCGGGAGAGGAUAGCGGAAUUCCCAGUGUAGAGGUGAAAUUCGUAGAUAUCUGGAGGAACACCAGUGGCGAAGGCGGCAUCCUGGACCGGUAUUGACGCUGAGGCGCGAAAGCUAGGGUAGCAAACGGG
This 253-nucleotide ribosomal RNA is filed under the name uncultured bacterium. RNAcentral describes it as "partial 16S ribosomal RNA". It matches the Rfam family "Bacterial small subunit ribosomal RNA", at positions 524 to 776 of the family's 1533-position model. The record is from RNAcentral.